RNAcentral lists this ribosomal RNA (481 nucleotides) under uncultured bacterium. RNAcentral describes it as "partial 16S ribosomal RNA". It matches the Rfam family "Bacterial small subunit ribosomal RNA", at positions 28 to 507 of the family's 1533-position model. The record is from RNAcentral.
GACGAACGCUGGCGGCGUGCUUAACACAUGCAAGUCGAACGGGAUCCGGGCUUUCGGGUUUGGUGAGAGUGGCGAACGGGUGAGUAACACGUGAGUAACCUGCCCCCUUCUUUGGGAUAACGUCGGGAAAUCGGCGCUAAUACUGGAUAUUCUUGCUGCAUCGCAUGGUGUGGUUUUGAAAGGGUUUCUGGUGGGGGAUGGGCUCGCGGACUAUCAGCUUGUUGGUGGGGUGAUGGCCUACCAAGGCUUUGACGGGUAGCCGGCCUGAGAGGGUGUCCGGCGACACUGGGACUGGGACACGGCCCAGACUGCUACGGGAGGCAGCAGUGGGGAAUAUUGCACAAUGGGCGCAAGCCUGAUGCAGCGACGCAGCGUGAGGGAUGACGGCCUUCGGGUUGUAAACCUCUUUCAGUAUGGAACAAGGAUCCUUAUUAUGGGGGGUUUGAGGGUACGUGCAGAAGAAGCGCCGGCUAACUACGUG